This 683-nucleotide long non-coding RNA is filed under the name Bos indicus x Bos taurus (hybrid cattle). RNAcentral's name for it is "lncRNA (ENSBIXG00000020028.1)". The record is from RNAcentral. Lineage: Eukaryota; Metazoa; Chordata; Mammalia; Artiodactyla; Bovidae.
CUCCCUUUGUUCAUAUGUGAAGUCAAGCAGCCCAACUUUUUUUUUGUCAUCUGGGGACAACUGAUGAAUUCUCACAUCAUUGCUGGGAAGGAGCCUAAAGCUCAGUUUCUGUGUUUACUCUUUCAAGGAACAUGUGCCAAGAGCCUGCCAUGAGCCAGGUUCAAGGACUCGAAAGCACUCUGAAUGUUGCUUCUCCAAGGGGGUUGCUGGAGACUUGGAGUCUCUGCCUAGCCCCACCUCUUCAAAACAACUCAGGAUUCUGCCUAAGCACUCCUUUCAAGAUGAGGACACCCUCCCAGGUUGGAGAAGCUGUUUCCAUGACUGUCAGACGGGAAAUCCCUCAGUGGAUGGCAGCAUGUACUCAUUUCCUAUUGAUGAAAAGAAACGAAUGUGACGAAAGAUAUGGCUCUUCUUCCCAGGAAAUCACCUCUCAGCAUGCACGCACGUGUGCGCACACACACACACACACUUUCACAUGUGUGUUAAAAGCCACAGAAUUCCCCAAAGUCUAUCAAGGGAUCCUGCUUUGGGAACUCAUCUUUAUGAAAGUAAUGUAUGUGUAAGAAAAAUCCUAUUCACUUGAUGGAUUAUUAUUUUUUUAAUAAUUUAAAGUUAUUUUUGACACUAUUUCAUACUAAAAGAAAUACUGUGCUGUUUUAAUAGAUACAGUUGUUACAUGUUCG